RNAcentral lists this unclassified non-coding RNA (20 nucleotides) under Chlamydomonas reinhardtii. Its description in RNAcentral is "small RNA Cre_1492". Lineage: Eukaryota; Viridiplantae; Chlorophyta; Chlorophyceae; Chlamydomonadales; Chlamydomonadaceae. The record is from RNAcentral.
CUGGAUCCGUGCAGUCGCUG